Octopus bimaculoides (California two-spot octopus) is the source of this 1482-nucleotide long non-coding RNA. Lineage: Eukaryota; Metazoa; Mollusca; Cephalopoda; Octopoda; Octopodidae. The record is from RefSeq and is a predicted model, not a curated record.
ACCUCAGACGGUGAUUAGAGAGAAGGAAAUAUGGAAAGCAGUUGAGGAAGUUUUCUAUACUUCGUCCAUUGGUGUCGAAUGAAGACGACAUCUUCGACAACACUGAAUUUCGAAUUAGGAAGCAUCCAUACAAGAACUAGAGGAUAACGUCUAAUCGUGACUGUAAUAAUCUUUAUGUGUGGCUGAAUCCACGGUUAUGGCGGCAGUUUCUUCCUAAAAUUGAGGAAUAUAUUCGCUGUAAAAAUAGUUCGGCCAUCAAUGUUUCCUAGAUGGUUCAUUCAUAAGUAAUCAAUUAAGUCCAUGUUUGUAUUUCACUACACAACACUUCAGCAUUUGAUACUCCCAUGCUGGAUGUACACGCAACCGUUACUGCUUCUCUGAAUACUACACAUGCCAUGCGGAUGAAAAACGGAAGUGGCGAUAUUUCACUAGCGCAGACGAGUAUAAUACCUCAACAGCUACAGUGAAAGCAUUUCACCUUUACUUGGAUAUCAGUCAAGCUUUUGACAUACCCUCUUAUCCUCUAGACACUGAUAUGUGCGUAGAUUAAUUCUUUUCUUUGAAAGUGAGAUGGUGGUUACACCUAUCAGACUCGCUCGUUCUCACUCAAUAUGCCCAGUGGCAAGAUAAAUUAAACUCUACUGCAUGAGAAUACAGGAGAUACGCAAAAUGGCUAAACAGCUAUACAGAACUUACAAUACCAUCUAACUUGGUCUAUGACGAGCAUAAAAUAUUAUAUGUUUCCAGGCAUCAUCACGAGUUUCGUGAUAGUACGUUGUUCCAUACACAGUUAAUCACACUGUUCUACUGCUGGCUACUUCGAUAUUGUUUCCUUAUUUCUUCCAGGAAACAUUCGAAUGAAAUACGAGCAUGCCUCUGAGAUAACAAAUAUUUAAUGUGCAUACACAUAUACAUAAUAAGAAGACCAUUGGCUCCCUUGGAUGACCAUCGACCAUUUGGUAGAUUUUGCUUCUUGUAGUGUCUAAAAUUACUUACCUCAAAACACGAGCUUACCAGUAACGACCACUAUGUCGUACACUGACCACCAUGUAACGAAGUAUAUUGAUUAUUGUUUACUGUUAGCAACAUCGUGGGUCUUCAUCGUAUGCACACGCAUGCACACAUUUGUGGCCGCGUAUGAAGCAUUUUUGGUGCAGCAUGGUAAGAGAUGACACAAUAAAUUCAUAUGAAUUCAUUUGCCAGCAUAAUUGAUGAGACAAUGUGAGAAACAGAAGCAAUGUCAGAAAGAUACAGACGACUCUACCUGCAACACCAAGGUCAUACUGCUUGCCAAGAUCAAGGAGGUGUUCAAAGAUCUUCCCAGGGACACAGUGACGAAUGUACGUGCUAGGUUCCAGGGUCAUCUUGAGGACAUGGUGGACACUGAGGGCAGCUACUUUGAUCCUAUAACAGUGUGUGUGUUGAGUAGAAGAAAAUAUAAACCAAUUUUUAAUGGCUUUUCAUAUGUUAGCAAUAAGACUG